GGGCAGGCCAGUUGCCUAGCACUGAGAUGGAAUAAACAUCACCCAGCUUCCUUUUCCCUCCCUCUUGAGAAGGAACGGUGAUGUCUUGAGAGUCAGAAAGAAAACAGUGACCGAAUAGACAUGAUUUAUUGAAAAAUAAGCAGGGUUCUUCUGGGAGGUCUGUCAGGUACAAGCUGAGUCAUUUCUCUCCCAUGUCACUGUUGGAAGAAACAAAGAUAAUUUGUAUGGAAAGUAAUGUGC
Molecule: long non-coding RNA, 240 nt
Filed under: Macaca mulatta (Rhesus monkey)
Lineage: Eukaryota; Metazoa; Chordata; Mammalia; Primates; Cercopithecidae
Description: lncRNA (ENSMMUG00000053785.1)
Source: RNAcentral